Molecule: ribosomal RNA, 392 nt
Filed under: uncultured bacterium
Lineage: Bacteria
Description: partial 16S ribosomal RNA
Rfam family: Bacterial small subunit ribosomal RNA
Source: RNAcentral
AUACGGAGGAUCCGAGCGUUAUCCGGAUUUAUUGGGUUUAAAGGGUGCGCAGGCGGCCAUUUAAGUCAGCGGUUAAAUCGUGGGGCUCAACCCCAUUCUGCCGUUGAUACUGGGUGGCUUGAUUGCGGUCGAGGUUGGCGGAAUUCGUUGUGUAGCGGUGAAAUGCAUAGAUAUGACGAAGAACACCGAUUGCGUAGGCAGCUGACCAGACCGCAAAUGACGCUCAUGCACGAAAGUGCGGGGAUCGAACAGGAUUAGAUACCCUGGUAGUCCGCACAGUAAACGAUGAAUACUUGUUUUCGGCGAUAUAAUGUCGGAGGCAAAGCGAAAGCGAUAAGUAUUCCACCUGGGGAGUACGCCGGCAACGGUGGAACUCAAAUGAAUUGACGGGG